AAAAAAAAAGAAUUGCCUAGAUAAUAAGGUAAGGAUUUCAAUUCUCUAGCUGGUGAAUUUGGAGCAAUCACAGAAAGGGGGAAGUGAGGUGGCUUUGUCGCGAGUCCCCUUCAAGGCUCUUGAUCUUGUAGGUACUGCGAAUGAUGGUCGGAGUGAAUAUCUCAGAUGAGCAGCUGGGCAGUAUUGCAGACAGGACCAUCCAGGAGGCUGACCAAGAUGGAGACAGUGCCAUAUCUUUUACAGAAUUUGUUAAGGUUUUGGAGAAGGUGGAUGUAGAACAGAAGAUGAGCAUCCGAUUUCUUCACUAAAGGGCAGAGACCAAAUUAUUCUUGCUUUCUAGUAUUUAAGAACUGAAACUUCCUUCUGUCCUCCAGCCCCACCCCAUCCUGUCAUCCCCCUUUCCCAGAAUACUACAGCUCCUGCAUGACAACCUGAAGUCUCUCCUGUCCAUACAAACUUGCCUUUGGUGUAUAAACAGGGCGUUACAGAAUGGUACCCUGUCUAUUUCUGUUCGGUAUCCACCCAUCAGUCUUUAUUGUAAGUACC
This 546-nucleotide long non-coding RNA is filed under the name Rattus norvegicus (Norway rat). RNAcentral's name for it is "long non-coding RNA NONRATT018482". The record is from RNAcentral. Lineage: Eukaryota; Metazoa; Chordata; Mammalia; Rodentia; Muridae.